UGUGAGGCUGCAGGGUGUGUGAGGCUGCAUUGUGUGUGAGGUUGCAGUGUGUGUGAGGUUGCAGGGUGUGUGAGGUUGCAGUGUGUGUGAGGCUGCAGUGUGUGUGAGGCUGCAGGGUGUGUGAGGUUGCAGGGUGUGUGAGGCUGCAGGGUGUGUGAGGCUGCAGGGUGUGUGAGGCUGGCAGUGAAAUGCUGAAUACAACAGGUGUAUCAGUGAAAUGCUGAAUACAACAGGUAUAGCAGUGAAAUGCUGAAUACAAGCCUUAACCUUAACCAACAAAAACAGUUAAAAAAAAAAAAAAACCUACAAAAAGUAACAAAUAAUUUAAGAGCAGUAAAACAACUUUUUAAAAUUUUAUUUAACCAGGCAAG
This is a long non-coding RNA of Oncorhynchus tshawytscha (Chinook salmon), 371 nucleotides long. The record is from Ensembl. Lineage: Eukaryota; Metazoa; Chordata; Actinopteri; Salmoniformes; Salmonidae.